RNAcentral lists this long non-coding RNA (408 nucleotides) under Linum usitatissimum (flax). Its description in RNAcentral is "long non-coding RNA (LUSI_LNC001476)". Lineage: Eukaryota; Viridiplantae; Streptophyta; Magnoliopsida; Malpighiales; Linaceae. The record is from RNAcentral.
GACACUUCACCACAUGGUCCUCUGUUUUUUUUCUGGCAAUGUAGCUAUGAAAUACCUAAUCCAGAAACAGUAUCUGAUUAAACAAACGAAAUCCUUUCUGGGAAACCAGGUUCCCACUUGUUCUAGGAAAUUGCACAUUGGUUUUGAUAAAGAAUUGAUUUUUAGAUAUUCAAACGUAUCCAAAAACAGAGUAACUCAAUCAAUCUGCAGACCUGUGCAGACUAUGGUUUCCUUUUUAAUAAAACUUCUUAAGAGAUGAACGAACCAGGGGAAGUUAUUUACAUGGAAACGGAACGAAUUAAUCAAUUCAGAUGGGUGUUUAAUCGAUGAUUAUAACUAUCAACUAGCUGAGCUAUUAGCUAAACCUUAUUAGUAAGGAUGAACGUUCUUGCUCAAUCCAUUAACGCU